This 465-nucleotide ribosomal RNA is filed under the name Vreelandella stevensii. Its description in RNAcentral is "partial 16S ribosomal RNA". It matches the Rfam family "Bacterial small subunit ribosomal RNA", at positions 338 to 795 of the family's 1533-position model. The record is from RNAcentral. Lineage: Bacteria; Pseudomonadati; Pseudomonadota; Gammaproteobacteria; Oceanospirillales; Halomonadaceae.
CCUACGGGCGGCUGCAGUGGGGAAUAUUGGACAAUGGGGGCAACCCUGAUCCAGCCAUGCCGCGUGUGUGAAGAAGGCCCUCGGGUUGUAAAGCACUUUCAGUGAGGAAGAACGCCUGGUGGUUAAUACCCAUCAGGAAAGACAUCACUCACAGAAGAAGCACCGGCUAACUCCGUGCCAGCAGCCGCGGUAAUACGGAGGGUGCGAGCGUUAAUCGGAAUUACUGGGCGUAAAGCGCGCGUAGGUGGCUUGAUAAGCCGGUUGUGAAAGCCCCGGGCUCAACCUGGGAACGGCAUCCGGAACUGUCAAGCUAGAGUGCAGGAGAGGAAGGUAGAAUUCCCGGUGUAGCGGUGAAAUGCGUAGGGAUCGGGAGGAAUACCAGUGGCGAAGGCGGCCUUCUGGACUGACACUGACACUGAGGUGCGAAAGCGUGGGUAGCAAACAGGAUUAGAUACCCUAGUAGUC